UUAACGUAAGUUGCAUAGAUUAAAAAAAUUCGAAAAUACUAAUUAUAAGUUGAAAAUGAAAAAGAAAAAAAGAAAAAGAAUAAUUACAAGAAAAUGAAAAAGAAAAAAAGAAAAAAGAAUAAUUACAAGAAAAUGAAAAUGAGACCGUAUGCUAUAAAGGAAACCAACUCAAUCUUUUUUCCAAUGUUACGUUAGCAUCACCUUUACUAUUGUGAGAUCCUCAUAAUCCUAACAAACAUCUCAAUCUCAUCAAAACAAUACGAAAAACCCUAUCAUAAUC
This 280-nucleotide long non-coding RNA is filed under the name Lathyrus oleraceus (garden pea). RNAcentral describes it as "Pisum sativum (pea) long non-coding RNA (PSAT_LNC041262)". The record is from RNAcentral. Lineage: Eukaryota; Viridiplantae; Streptophyta; Magnoliopsida; Fabales; Fabaceae.